Molecule: transfer RNA, 37 nt
Filed under: Paratelius nigricornis
Lineage: Eukaryota; Metazoa; Arthropoda; Insecta; Coleoptera; Lycidae
Description: partial tRNA-Ser
Source: RNAcentral
UCUGUUAGAAGUUAGAAGCUUCUUAUAUUAUUUCUUU